UGGGGAAUAUUGGACAAUGGGCGAAAGCCUGAUCCAGCCAUGCCGCGUGUGUGAAGAAGGUCUUCGGAUUGUAAAGCACUUUAAGUUGGGAGGAAGGGCAUUAACCUAAUACGUUAGUGUUUUGACGUUACCGACAGAAUAAGCACCGGCUAACUCUGUGCCAGCAGCCGCGGUAAUACAGAGGGGGCAAGCGUUAAUCGGAAUUACUGGGCGUAAAGCGCGCGUAGGUGGUUUGUUAAGUUGGAUGUGAAAUCCCCGGGCUCAACCUGGGAACUGCAUUCAAAACUGACUGACUAGAGUAUGGUAGAGGGUGGUGGAAUUUCCUGUGUAGCGGUGAAAUGCGUAGAUAUAGGAAGGAACACCAGUGGCGAAGGCGACCCCCUGGACAAAGACUGACGCUCAGGUGCGAAAGCGUGGGGAGCAAACA
RNAcentral lists this ribosomal RNA (427 nucleotides) under uncultured bacterium. RNAcentral describes it as "partial 16S ribosomal RNA". It matches the Rfam family "Bacterial small subunit ribosomal RNA", at positions 355 to 774 of the family's 1533-position model. The record is from RNAcentral.